GUGAGUGUUUCUUUGGCAGUGUCUUAGCUGGUUGUUGUGAGCAAUAAUCAAGGAAGCAAUCAGCAAGUAUACUGCCCUAGAAGUGCUGCACAU
This is a microRNA precursor of Chelydra serpentina (North American snapping turtle), 93 nucleotides long. The record is from Ensembl. Lineage: Eukaryota; Metazoa; Chordata; Testudines; Chelydridae.